UACGGAGGAUGCGAGCGUUAUCCGGAUUUAUUGGGUUUAAAGGGUGCGUAGGCGGGCUUUUAAGUCAGCGGUAAAAAUUCGGGGCUCAACCCCGUCCGGCCGUUGAAACUGGGGGCCUUGAGUGGGCGAGAAGAAGGCGGAAUGCGUGGUGUAGCGGUGAAAUGCAUAGAUAUCACGCAGGACCCCGAUUGCGAAGGCAGCCUUCCGGCGCCCUACUGACGCUGAGGCACGAAAGUGCGGGGAUCGAACAGG
Molecule: ribosomal RNA, 252 nt
Filed under: uncultured bacterium
Lineage: Bacteria
Description: partial 16S ribosomal RNA
Rfam family: Bacterial small subunit ribosomal RNA
Source: RNAcentral